RNAcentral lists this ribosomal RNA (2836 nucleotides) under human gut metagenome. RNAcentral's name for it is "bacterial LSU rRNA". It matches the Rfam family "Bacterial large subunit ribosomal RNA". The record is from RNAcentral.
UCAAGCUAUAAAGAGCGCAAGGGGAAUGCCUUGGCAUCAGGAGCCGAUGAAGGACGUGAUAAGCUGCGAAAAGCUUCGGGGAGCUGCAAAUGAGCAUUGAUCCGGAGAUAUCCGAAUGGGGCAACCCACUGGAGCAAACCUCCAGUAACGUGCUGUGAAUCAAAUAGCAGUACGUGGGGAACCGCCUGAACUGAAACAUCUAAGUAGGGCGAGGAAAAGACAUCAACAGAGAUUCCGCUAGUAGUGGCGAGCGAACGCGGAGGAGGCCAAACCAAAGGUAGCAAUAUCUUUGGGGUUGUGGACGGACAUCAUGAUCAGAGGUAACUAGACGAACGGCAUGGGAAGGCCGGCGAAACAGUGUGAGAGCCACGUAGUCGAAAGUGAAGACUGACAGUCCGUAUCCAGAGUACCGCAGGACACGAGGAACCCUGUGGGAAGCCGGGGGGACCACCCUCCAAGCCUAAAUACUACCUGAUGACCGAUAGAGGAGCAGUACCGUGAGGGAAAGGUGAAAAGAACCCCGGGAGGGGAGUGAAAUAGUACCUGAAACCUUGUGCUUACAAGCAGUCACAGCCCGUUAACGGGUGGUGGCGUACUUUUUGUAGAACGGUCCGGCGAGUUAUAGUCACUAGCGAGCUUAAGGUAUUCAGUACCGAAGGCGUAGGGAAACCAAGUCUUAAUAGGGCGUAUGAAGUUAGUGGCCAUAGACCCGAAACCAUGUGACCUAGCCAUGAGCAGGAUGAAGUGGAGGUAAAGCUCCAUGGAGGUCCGAACGCACGUUCGUUGCAAUGACCGGCGAUGACUUGUGGCUAGCGGUGAAAUUCCAAUCGAACUUGGAGAUAGCUGGUUCUCCCCGAAAUAGCUUUAGGGCUAGCGUUGGAAAUGAGUUUAGCGGAGGUAAAGCACUGAAUGAGCUAGGGGGCGCGAGCUUACUGAACUCUAUCAAACUAAGAAUGCCGCAUAAAUGCUUUCCAGCAGUCAGACUGCGAGUAAUAAAAUCCGUGGUCAAAAGGGUAACAGCCCAGACCCACAGCUAAGGUCCCCAAUACAUGCUAAGUGGAAAACGAUGUGAGAUUGCAUAAACAACCAGGAUGUUGGCUUAGAGGCAGCCACUCGUUCAAAGAGUGCGUAAUAGCUCACUGGUCGAGUGAUCAUGCGCGGAAAAUUUAACGGGGCUAAGCAUGUAACCGAAGCUUGGGAUUGCGCUUUGCGCAGUGGUAGGGGAGCGUCGUGUACGGGGUGAAGUACGAUCGAGAGGACGUGUGGACUGUACACGAGUGAGAAUGCCGGAAUGAGUAGCGAGAAUUAUGUGGGAAUCAUAAUGGCCGAAAAUCUAAGGUUUCUUGGGGAAGGUUCGUCCGCCCAAGGUAAGCCGGGAGCUAAGGCGAGGCCGAAAGGCGUAGUCGAUGCACAUACGGUUGAAAUUCCGUAGCCACCUUAUCGUUUAAAGCUGACACAUAGAGAUAGCCGAUCCCGGGCGUUGGUUGACCCGGGCGAAAGGGACCGAACUUCAGUAGGGAAGUCGGCGAUGCUCUGUGGCGAGAAAAGGCGAAGAUAGGGUGCCCGUACCGCAAACCGACACAGGUAGAUGAGGAGAGAAUCCUAAGGCCAACGGGAGAAGGGUUGUUAAGGAACUCGGCAAAAUGGUCCCGUAACUUCGGGAGAAGGGACACCCUCGAAAGAGGGUCGCAGUGAAAAGGCCCAAGCGACUGUUUACCAAAAACACAGGUCUCUGCUAAAUCGAAAGAUGACGUAUAGGGGCUGACGCCUGCCCGGUGCUGGAAGGUUAAGAGGAGGACUUAGCGCAAGCGAAGGUUCGAAUUUAAGCCCCAGUAAACGGCGGCCGUAACUAUAACGGUCCUAAGGUAGCGAAAUUCCUUGUCAGGUAAGUUCUGACCCGCACGAAUGGCGUAACGAUUUGGGCACUGUCUCAACAGCCCACCCGGCGAAAUUGUAGUACCGGUGAAGAUGCCGGUUACCCGCAACUAGACGGAAAGACCCCAUGGAGCUUUACUGCAGCUUAAUACUGAGAUUCGGUAAUUCAUGUACAGGAUAGGUGGGAGACUUAGAAACCGGGGCGUCAGCUUCGGCGGAGUCACCCUUGGGAUACCACCCUUGGAUUGCUGGGUUUCUAACCUGCGGCCAUGAAUCUGGUCGGGGGACACUGUUAGGCGGGCAGUUUGACUGGGGCGGUCGCCUCCUAAAAUGUAGCGGAGGCGCUCAAAGCUUGGCUCAGCAUGGAUGGAAAUCAUGCAAUGAGUGUAAACGUAUAAGCCAAGUUGACUGCGAGACCGACGGGUCGAGCAGGUACGAAAGUAGGAGUUAGUGAUCCGGUGGUAUGUGAGUGGAAAUGCCAUCGCUCAACGGAUAAAAGCUACCCUGGGGAUAACAGGCUGAUCUCCCCCAAGCGUCCACAGCGACGGGGAGGUUUGGCACCUCGAUGUCGGCUCGUCGCAUCCUGGGGCUGUAUUCGGUCCCAAGGGUUUGGCUGUUCGCCAAUUAAAGCGGCACGCGAGCUGGGUUCAGAACGUCGUGAGACAGUUCGGUCCCUAUCUGUUGCGGGCGUAAGAGAUUUGAAGGGAGCUGUCCUUAGUACGAGAGGACCGGGAUGGACGUACCUCUGGUGCACCAGUUGUCCUGCCAAGGGCAUAGCUGGGUAGCUAUGUACGGACGAGAUAAACGCUGAAAGCAUCUAAGCGUGAAACUCCCCCUAAGAUGAGAUCUCUCAUCCUUUAUGGAGUAAGGGCCCAGAAAGACGAUCUGGUUGAUAGGCCGGAGGUGGAAGUGCAGCAAUGUAUGGAGCUGACCGGUACUAAUAGCCCGAGGGCUUGACCUA